UCGAGUUCUAAACUCCCAAACCAUUGUGAACAUACCUAUGUUGCCUCGGCGGGUUCACGCCCGCCGGCGGCCAACCAAACUCUGUUUUCUAGAGAAUCUUCUGAGUUAUCUUAUAAAUAAGAAUUA
Molecule: unclassified non-coding RNA, 126 nt
Filed under: uncultured Ascomycota
Lineage: Eukaryota; Fungi; Ascomycota
Description: sequence contains ITS1
Source: RNAcentral